GCCAGCCCGCUCAGAAACUUAAAGGAAUUGACGGGGCCGGUACAAGCGGAGGAGCAUGUGGUUUAAUUCGAUGAUACGCGAGGAACUUACCUGGGCUCGAACGUAAGAUGACUGUAGGUGAAGGCUUACAUCUCUUCGGAGCAUUUUACGAGGUGCUGCAUGGUUGUCGUCAGCUCGUGCCGUGAGGUGUCGGGUUAAGUCCCAUAACGAGCGCAACCCCUACCUUAGUUGCCAUCAGGUUAAGCUGGGGACUCUAAAGGAACUGCCUACGCAAGUAGUGAGGAAGGCGGGGAUGACGUCAAAUCAGCACGGCCCUUACGUCCAGGGCUACACACGUGCUACAAUGGCCGAUACAGAGGGCAGCUACCUGGUGACAGGAUGCAAAUCUCCAAAGUCGGUCUCAGUUCGGAUCGGAGUCUGCAACCCGACUCCGUGAAGUUGGAUUCGCUAGUAAUCGCGCAUCAGCCAUGGCGCGGUGAAUACGUUCCCGGGCCUU
Molecule: ribosomal RNA, 496 nt
Filed under: uncultured Sphingobacteriales bacterium
Lineage: Bacteria; Pseudomonadati; Bacteroidota; Sphingobacteriia; Sphingobacteriales
Description: bacterial SSU rRNA
Rfam family: Bacterial small subunit ribosomal RNA
Source: RNAcentral